Non-coding RNA from Entophlyctis luteolus, 86 nucleotides. The record is from the annotation of a GenBank genome assembly. Lineage: Eukaryota; Fungi; Chytridiomycota; Chytridiomycetes; Chytridiales; Chytriomycetaceae.
GCCCGUGUAGCGCAGUGGUAGCGCGUGUCCCUCCUAGUCAUUCAGGAGUGAGGAUGAGGCCGUCGGUUCAAUCCCGACCUCGGGUG